Molecule: ribosomal RNA, 406 nt
Filed under: uncultured bacterium
Lineage: Bacteria
Description: partial 16S ribosomal RNA
Rfam family: Bacterial small subunit ribosomal RNA
Source: RNAcentral
AUUGCACGCUGGCGGCAGGCCUAACACAUGCAAGUCGAGCGAGCGGCGGACGGGUGAGUAAUGUCUGGGAAACUGCCUGAUGGAGGGGGAUAACUACUGGACACGGUAGCUAAUACCGCAUACCAUCAGAUGUGCCCAGAUGGGAUUAGCUAGUAGGUGGGGUAAUGGCUCACCUAGGCGACGAUCCCUAGCUGGUCUGAGAGGAUGACCAGCCACCAUGAGAUUGAGACACGUGCCAGACGCCUACGGGAGGCAGCAGUGGGGAAGAUUGCACAAUGGGCGCAAGCGUGAGGCAGCCAUGCCGCGUGUGUGAAGAAGGCCUUCGGGUUGUAAAGCACUUUCAGCGGGGAGGCGUUACCCGCAGAAGAAGCACCGGCCAACUCCGUGCCAGCCGCCGCGGUAAUUC